This 367-nucleotide ribosomal RNA is filed under the name uncultured organism. RNAcentral describes it as "bacterial SSU rRNA". It matches the Rfam family "Bacterial small subunit ribosomal RNA", at positions 526 to 896 of the family's 1533-position model. The record is from RNAcentral.
CGGAGGAUCCAAGCGUUAUCCGGAAUCAUUGGGUUUAAAGGGUCCGUAGGCGGGUUUAUAAGUCAGUGGUGAAAGCCCAUCGCUCAACGAUGGAACGGCCAUUGAUACUGUAGAUCUUGAAAUAUUAGGAAGUAACUAGAAUAUGUAGUGUAGCGGUGAAAUGCUUAGAGAUUACAUGGAAUACCAAUUGCGAAGGCAGGUUACUACUAAUGGAUUGACGCUGAUGGACGAAAGCGUGGGUAGCGAACAGGAUUAGAUACCCUGGUAGUCCACGCCGUAAACGAUGGAUACUAGCUGUUCGGAGCAAUCUGAGUGGCUAAGCGAAAGUGAUAAGUAUCCCACCUGGGGGAGUACGUUCGCAAGAAUG